This is a long non-coding RNA of Lagenorhynchus albirostris (white-beaked dolphin), 272 nucleotides long. RefSeq lists it as uncharacterized. The record is from RefSeq and is a predicted model, not a curated record. Lineage: Eukaryota; Metazoa; Chordata; Mammalia; Artiodactyla; Delphinidae. The transcript has 3 exons.
AAAUACAAGUAAGCAAGAUACAGAUGAAGAAGCUCUAGCAUGGAAGCCACAGAUUAAGAAGCAAGAAGACAUUUGGGAUCAAGGGCACAGGGAGUCUCGUAGGUAAAAGGGGAAAGAUGGGACUCAGUGCCAUACCAGCAGCAGCUUCCAGGUUAAUGGAAAUGAUUAUUUCUGUGACUUCCAAGAGCUAUUUUAAAGUUCCCUACAGAGGACACAAAUGUAAAUAAGGCAUGAUUCCUGUCCUCAAGCUGUUCGCCUCUAGAAGAGAGAUG